ACCCGGCUGACGAGUUCCAAAUAGGACGAAACGCGCGUCCUGGGU
RNAcentral lists this non-coding RNA (45 nucleotides) under Schistosoma mansoni. Lineage: Eukaryota; Metazoa; Platyhelminthes; Trematoda; Strigeidida; Schistosomatidae. The record is from RNAcentral.